Molecule: non-coding RNA, 70 nt
Organism: Cynoglossus semilaevis (tongue sole)
Lineage: Eukaryota; Metazoa; Chordata; Actinopteri; Pleuronectiformes; Cynoglossidae
Source: the annotation of a RefSeq genome assembly
GGUUCCAUAGUGUAGCGGUCAGCACGCCUGCCUCUGAAGCAAGUCCUGGGUUCGAUUCCCAGAGGAACCA